Molecule: unclassified non-coding RNA, 275 nt
Filed under: uncultured fungus
Lineage: Eukaryota; Fungi
Description: partial contains 5.8S ribosomal RNA, internal transcribed spacer 2, and large subunit ribosomal RNA
Source: RNAcentral
AACGCACAUUGCGCCCCCUGGCAUUCCGGGGGGCAUGCCUGUCCGAGCGUCAUUUCAACCCCUCAAGCGCGGCUUGUGCUAUGGGCGCCACGUCCCCCCGGCGGGGGGACGCGCCUGGAACGCAGCGGGGACCCCGGGACUUCACCUGUGCCUCAGCUAAUGGGAGCAAAACCAGAGCUGCACGGCGGGUGCCCGGCGUCGACCUCAGGGGGCCUUCGGGCCCGACACCAACCACGGUUGACCUCGGAUCAGGUAGGGAUACCCGCUGAACUUAA